GCUGUAGCUGGCCUUGGAAACGAGGCAUGUGCACGCUCUUCUGUUUUUCACAACUCACCUGUGCACCUAAUGUAGGAUGCCUCUCUUUCGGGAGGGGGGACCUAUGUCUUCAUACGCCUCUUCGUGUAGAAAGUCUUAGAAUGUUUACUAUCAGAGAGUCGCGACUUCUAGGAGACGCGAAUCUCUGAGAUAAAAGUUAAUUACAACUUUCAGCAAUGGAUCUCUUGGCUCUCGCAUCGAUGAAGAACGCAGCGAAAAGCGAUAUGUAAUGUGAAUUGCAGAUCUACAGUGAAUCAUCGAAUCUUUGAACGCACCUUGCGCUCCUCGGUGUUCCGAGGAGCAUGCCUGUUUGAGUGUCAGUAAAUUCUCAACCCCUCUCGAUUUGUUUCGAGGGGGAGCUUGGAUAGUGGGGGCUGCCGGAGACUAGGAUUCGUCCUUGACUCGGGCUCUCCUUAAAUGCAUCGGCUUGCGGUCGACUUUCGACUUUGCGCGACAAGGCUUUCGGCGUGAUAAUGAUCGCCGUUCGCUGAAGCGCAUGAAUGAAAUGUUCCGUGCCUCUAAUACGUCGACUUUAUUGUCUUCCUCAUUGACUUUUGACCUCAAAUCAGG
Molecule: ribosomal RNA, 609 nt
Filed under: uncultured fungus
Lineage: Eukaryota; Fungi
Description: eukaryotic LSU rRNA
Rfam family: 5.8S ribosomal RNA (bases 205-359)
Source: RNAcentral